Hippoglossus stenolepis (Pacific halibut) is the source of this 886-nucleotide non-coding RNA. Lineage: Eukaryota; Metazoa; Chordata; Actinopteri; Pleuronectiformes; Pleuronectidae. The record is from the annotation of a RefSeq genome assembly.
GGAGGAUUUGAUCUUCCACAGCAACUCCACUUUGUAUCUGAGCCACAAAUACUAAAGUGGGAGUUUAUAUUCAAGAGGAAAAACUGUGUCCAAGAACAUAAGAAGUCAGAUGGAGCUGAAAUAUUGAUUCUGAGAUAACGUGUACUCUUUCUGAUCAGAGAUAUAAAAGAGUCAGAGGAGCUUCACAACACUUCUGGAGCAAAGUGAAUCUACAGCAGAUGUGAAGGAGGAAACUGUGAUAUUUCAAACACUGACGACAUAAGACAAGAUGCAGUGGGACAGGAGAGUGAAUGAAAAGUGUGCGAGGGGUAAAGUUGUGAGUCGGGGCCGAACAGGGCCGAGACUCCUCCUUCUAAUCUGAGUCUAAACACAGAGAUCACAGCUUCUUUCCUCUUUCUACUCACAGUGACUCAACACUGCAGAUAUGACGCCUCUGUUCAUCUCAGUGCUGCUGGCUGCUCUGUGUCUUGAAGGCAGAGCACAACAAGACACUGUGCUGCAACCAGAAGGAGACGUGACUGCGACUGAAGGAGAAGCAGCAACACUUGGCUGUCGAUACGUCAGCAGCUCAGCAAGUGCAUCUCUCCACUGGUACAAACAGGAAGGAACCAACAGCCCAAAAUUCAUCCUGAGCCGCCUUCUAGUGGGAGAAGGAAACAAGGCAGACGACUUCAGAGAGAGAUUUUCAUCCACAAUGAAUUCCACAUCAUUUCCUCUGAAGAUCCAGAAGCUGCAGCCGUCUGACUCUGCUGUGUACUACUGUGCUCUGCAGCCCACAGUGACAGGAAACUACACAACUCUGUACAAAAACCUGUGGAGCAAAGACAAUACUCCUCUUCCUCCACCAGAGGGAGUCACUCACUGUUACUCUCACAACCUGAGCUGA